CCUACGGGAGGCAGCAGUAGGGAAUAUUGCUCAAUGGGGGAAACCCUGAAGCAGCAACGCCGCGUGGAGGAUGAAGGUUUUCGGAUUGUAAACUCCUUUUGUUAGAGAAGAUAAUGACGGUAUCUAACGAAUAAGCACCGUCUAACUCCGUGCCAGCAGCCGCGGUAAUACGGAGGGUGCAAGCGUUACUCGGAAUCACUGGGCGUAAAGAGGGCGUAGGCGGGAUAGCAAGUCAGAUGUGAAAUCCUAUGGCUUAACCAUAGAACUGCAUUUGAAACUGUUAUUCUAGAGUAUGGGAGAGGUAGGUGGAAUUCUUGGUGUAGGGGUAAAAUCCGUAGAGAUCAAGAGGAAUACUCAUUGCGAAGGCGACCUGCUAGAACAUAACUGACGCUGAUGCGCGAAAGCGUGGGGAGCAAACAGGAUUAGAUACCCUUGUAGUC
This 440-nucleotide ribosomal RNA is filed under the name uncultured bacterium. Its description in RNAcentral is "partial 16S ribosomal RNA". It matches the Rfam family "Bacterial small subunit ribosomal RNA", at positions 338 to 795 of the family's 1533-position model. The record is from RNAcentral.